Molecule: non-coding RNA, 471 nt
Organism: Nerophis lumbriciformis (worm pipefish)
Lineage: Eukaryota; Metazoa; Chordata; Actinopteri; Syngnathiformes; Syngnathidae
Source: RefSeq, a predicted model, not a curated record
ACAAAUUCCUCAGUAAUUUCACCAAGACGUCACCUUGGAGUUGUUUGGUCCGUUGAGCGGAUUGGUGAGCAAGCUUCCUCAGUUAGUGGGGCCAUGACGAUGACUUCUGUUUUGCUUGAUCGGACGUUUUACUGCCGUGUUACAGACUUUUGGGAACAAUUAAAGAUUCACAAAUUCCUCAGUAAAUUCACCAAGACGUCACCGUGGAGUUGUUGGGUCUGUUUAGUGGAUUGGAGAGCUGGCUUCCUCAGCUAGUGGGUCCAUGACGAUGACUUCUGUUUUGCUUGAUCGGCCGUUUUACUGCCGUGUUACAGACACUUUUGGGAACAAUUAAAGAUUCACAAAUUCCUCAGUAAAUUCACCAAGACGUCACCUUGGAGUUGUUGGGUCCGUUGAGCGGAUUGGAGAGCAAGCUUCCUCAGCUAGUGGGUCCAUGACGAUGACUUCUGUUUUGCUUGAUCGGACGUUUUA